Molecule: ribosomal RNA, 292 nt
Filed under: uncultured bacterium
Lineage: Bacteria
Description: partial 16S ribosomal RNA
Source: RNAcentral
GGACUACUAGGGUUUCUAAUCCUGUUUGCUCCCCACGCUUUCGCACAUGAGCGUCAAUAUCGGACCAGGUAGUCGCCUUCGCCACUGGUGUUCUUCCAAAUAUCUACGAAUUUCACCUCUACACUUGGAAUUCCACUACCCUCUUCCGAAUUCAAGUCCGCCAGUCUUAAAAGCAAUUCCCGGGUUGAGCCCAGGGCUUUCACUCCUAAUUCAACGGACCGCCUGCGUGCGCUUUACGCCCAGUAAUUCCGAACAACGCUAGCCCCCUUCGUAUUACCGCGGCGGCUGGCAC